Molecule: ribosomal RNA, 1562 nt
Filed under: Clostridioides difficile
Lineage: Bacteria; Bacillati; Bacillota; Clostridia; Peptostreptococcales; Peptostreptococcaceae
Description: partial 23S ribosomal RNA
Rfam family: Bacterial large subunit ribosomal RNA
Source: RNAcentral
CAUACGGGUUGAAGCAUGACCGUAAGGACAUGUGGACAGUAUGGGAGUGAGAAUGUUGGCAUGAGUAGCGAGAUGUGGGUGAGAAUCCCACAGGCCGUAAACCCAAGGUUUCCAGGGGAAGGUUCGUCCGCCCUGGGUUAGUCGGGACCUAAGCUGAGGCCGAAAGGCGUAGGUGAUGGACAACAGGUUGAUAUUCCUGUACUACCGAUAACCGUUUGAGAGAAGGGAUGACACAGUAGGAUAAGCUAAGCACACUGUUGGUUAUGUGUGCCCAAGCAUUGAGGCAGUCAAAGCAGGCAAAUCCGCUUUGAUAAUGCUGGGAUGUGAUGGGGAGCGAAAUUUAGUAGCGAAGUAGCUGAUUUCACACUGUCAAGAAAAGUCUCUAUCGAGGUUAAAGGUACCCGUACCGCAAACCGACACAGGUGGGUGAGGAGAGUAUCCUAAGGCCAGCGAGAGAACUGUUGUUAAGGAACUCGGCAAAAUGACCCCGUAACUUAGGGAUAAGGGGUGCCACCAUCCGGUGGCCGCAGAGAAUAGGCCCAAGCGACUGUUUACCAAAAACAUAGGUUUCUGCUAAGUCGCAAGACGAUGUAUAGGAGCUGACGCCUGCCCGGUGCUGGAAGGUUAAGGGGAUCUGUUAGAGCAAUCGAAGCAGUGAACUUAAGCCCCAGUAAACGGCGGCCGUAACUAUAACGGUCCUAAGGUAGCGAAAUUCCUUGUCGGGUAAGUUCCGACCCGCACGAAAGGCGUAACGAUUUGGGCACUGUCUCAACAACAGACUCGGUGAAAUUGUAAUUCCGGUGAAGAUGCCGGAUACCUGCGACAGGACGGAAAGACCCCAUGGAGCUUUACUGUAGCUUGACAUUGGGUCUUGGUACUACAUGUACAGGAUAGGUGGGAGGCUUUGAAACCAGGACGCCAGUUUUGGCGGAGCCAUCCUUGGGAUACCACCCUUGUAGUACUGGGACUCUAACCAUAGGCCAUGAAUCUGGUCUUGGGACACUGUCAGGUGGGCAGUUUGACUGGGGCGGUCGCCUCCCAAAAGGUAACGGAGGCGCUCAAAGGUUCUCUCAGUACGGUCGGAAAUCGUACGUAGAGUGUAAAGGCAAAAGAGAGCUUGAUUGCAAGACAUACAGGUCGAGCAAGGAUGAAAAUCGGACUUAGUGAUCCGGUGGUUCUGCGUGGAAGGGCCAUCGCUCAACGGAUAAAAGCUACCCUGGGGAUAACAGGCUUAUCUCCCCCAAGAGUCCACAUCGACGGGGAGGUUUGGCACCUCGAUGUCGGCUCAUCACAUCCUGGGGCUGUAGUAGGUCCCAAGGGUUGGGCUGUUCGCCCAUUAAAGUGGUACGCGAGCUGGGUUCAGAACGUCGUGAGACAGUUCGGUCCCUAUCCGUCGCAGGCGUAGGAAAUUUGAGAAGACCUGUCCUUAGUACGAGAGGACCGGGAUGGACGUACCUCUGGUGUACCAGUUGUUCUGCCAAGGGCAUGGCUGGGUAGCUAUGUACGGAAUGGAUAAGCGCUGAAAGCAUCUAAGCGCGAAGCCAACUUCAAGAUAAGAUUUC